RNAcentral lists this ribosomal RNA (465 nucleotides) under uncultured bacterium. RNAcentral describes it as "partial 16S ribosomal RNA". It matches the Rfam family "Bacterial small subunit ribosomal RNA", at positions 28 to 507 of the family's 1533-position model. The record is from RNAcentral.
GACGAACGCUGGCGGCGUGCUUAACACAUGCAAGUCGAACGGAAAGGCCCCUUUGGGGGUACUCGAGUGGCGAACGGGUGCGUAACACGUGAGUAACCUGCCCUUGACUUCGGGAUAACUUCAGGAAACUGGGGCUAAUACCGGAUAGGAAUCCUUGCUGCAUGGUGGGGGUUGGAAAGCUUCGGCGGUUUUGGAUGGACUCGCGGCUUAUCAGCUUGUUGGUGGGGUAGUGGCUUACCAAGGCUUUGACGGGUAGCCGGCCUGAGAGGGCGACCGGCCACAUUGGGUCUGAGAUACGGCCCAGACUCCUACGGGAGGCAGCAGUGGGGAAUAUUGCACAAUGGGCGGAAGCCUGAUGCAGCAACGCCGCGUGCGGGAUGACGGCCUUCGGGUUGUAAACCGCUUUCAGCAGGGGCGAAGCUUGUGGUGACGGUACCUGCAGAAGAAGCACCGGCUAACUACGUG